GGGUUGUGAGGUUAAGCGACUAAGCGUACACGGUGGAUGCCCUGGCAGUCAGAGGCGAUGAAGGACGUGCUAAUCUGCGAAAAGCGUCGGUAAGGUGAUAUGAACCGUUAUAACCGGCGAUGUCCGAAUGGGGAAACCCAGUGCAAUUCGUUGCACUAUCGUUAACUGAAUACAUAGGUUAACGAGGCGAACCGGGGGAACUGAAACAUCUAAGUACCCCGAGGAAAAGAAAUCAACCGAGAUUCCCCCAGUAGCGGCGAGCGAACGGGGAGCAGCCCAGAGUCUGAAUCAGCUUGUGUGUUAGUGGAACGGUCUGGAAAGUCCGACGGUACAGGGUGAUAGUCCCGUACACCAAAAUGCACAGGCUGUGAACUCGAAGAGUAGGGCGGGACACGUGGUAUCCUGUCUGAAUAUGGGGGGACCAUCCUCCAAGGCUAAAUACUCCUGACUGACCGAUAGUGAACCAGUACCGUGAGGGAAAGGCGAAAAGAACCCCGGCGAGGGGAGUGAAAAAGAACCUGAAACCGUGUACGUACAAGCAGUGGGAGCACCUUCGGGUGUGACUGCGUACCUUUUGUAUAAUGGGUCAGCGACUUAUAUUCUGUAGCAAGGUUAACCGUAUAGGGAGCCGCAGGGAAACCGAGUCUUAACUGGGCGUUAAGUUGCAGGGUAUAGACCCGAAACCCGGUGAUUCAGCCAUGGGCAGGUUGAAGGUUGGGUAACACUAACUGGAGGACCGAACCGACUAAUGUUGAAAAAUUAGCGGAUGACUUGUGGCUGGGGUGAAAGGCCAAUCAAACCGGGAGAUAGCUGGUUCUCCCCGAAAGCUAUUUAGGUAGCGCCUCGUGAACUCAUCUUCGGGGUAGAGCACUGUUUCGGCUAGGGGUCAUCCCGACUUACCAACCCGAUGCAAACUACGAAUACCGAAGAAUGUUAUCACGGGAGACACACGGCGGGUGCUAACGUCCGUCGUGAAGAGGGAAACAACCCAGACCGCCAGCUAAGGUCCCAAAGUCAUGGUUAAGUGGGAAACGAUGUGGGAAGGCACAGACAGCCAGGAUGUUGGCUUAGAAGCAGCCAUCAUUUAAAGAAAGCGUAAUAGCUCACUGGUCGAGUCGGCCUGCGCGGAAGAUGUAACGGGGCUAAACCAUGCACCGAAGCUGCGGCAGCGACACUAUGUGUUGUUGGGUAGGGGAGCGUUCUGUAAGCCUGCGAAGGUGACCUGUGAGGGUUGCUGGAGGUAUCAGAAGUGCGAAUGCUGACAUAAGUAACGAUAAAGCGGGUGAAAAGCCCGCUCGCCGGAAGACCAAGGGUUCCUGUCCAACGUUAAUCGGGGCAGGGUGAGUCGACCCUAAGGCGAGGCCGAAAGGCGUAGUCGAUGGGAAACAGGUUAAUAUUCCUGUACUUGGUGUUACUGCGAAGGGGGACGGAGAAGGCUAUGUUAGCCGGGCGACGGUUGUCCCGGUUUAAGCAUGUAGGCUGAUUGUCCGUGCAAAUCCGGAUAAUCAAGGCUGAGGUGUGAUGACGAGGCACUACGGUGCUGAAGUAACAAAUGCCCUGCUUCCGUGAAAAGCCUCUAAGCAUCAGGUAACAUCAAAUCGUACCCCAAACCGACACAGGUGGUCAGGUAGAGAAUACCAAGGCGCUUGAGAGAACUCGGGUGAAGGAACUAGGCAAAAUGGUGCCGUAACUUCGGGAGAAGGCACGCUGGUGUGUAGGUGAAGUCCCUGCGGAUGGAGCUGAGACCAGUCGAAGAUACCAGCUGGCUGCAACUGUUUAUUAAAAACACAGCACUGUGCAAACACGAAAGUGGACGUAUACGGUGUGACGCCUGCCCGGUGCCGGAAGGUUAAUUGAUGGGGUUAUCCGUAAGGAGAAGCUCUUGAUCGAAGCCCCGGUAAACGGCGGCCGUAACUAUAACGGUCCUAAGGUAGCGAAAUUCCUUGUCGGGUAAGUUCCGACCUGCACGAAUGGCGUAAUGAUGGCGGGCUGUCUCCACCCGAGACUCAGUGAAAUUGAACUCGCUGUGAAGAUGCAGUGUACCCGCGGCAAGACGGAAAGACCCCGUGAACCUUUACUAUAGCUUGACACUGAACAUUGAGCCUUGAUGUGUAGGAUAGGUGGGAGGCUUUGAAGCGUGGACGCCAGUCUGCGUGGAGCCAACCUUGAAAUACCACCCUUUAAUGUUUGAUGUUCUAACGUUGGCCCCUUACCGGGGUUGCGGACAGUGUCUGGUGGGUAGUUUGACUGGGGCGGUCUCCUCCCAAAGCGUAACGGAGGAGCACGAAGGUUAGCUAAUCCUGGUCGGACAUCAGGAGGUUAGUGCAAUGGCAUAAGCUAGCUUGACUGCGAGCGUGACGGCGCGAGCAGGUGCGAAAGCAGGUCAUAGUGAUCCGGUGGUUCUGAAUGGAAGGGCCAUCGCUCAACGGAUAAAAGGUACUCCGGGGAUAACAGGCUGAUACCGCCCAAGAGUUCAUAUCGACGGCGGUGUUUGGCACCUCGAUGUCGGCUCAUCACAUCCUGGGGCUGAAGUAGGUCCCAAGGGUAUGGCUGUUCGCCAUUUAAAGUGGUACGCGAGCUGGGUUUAGAACGUCGUGAGACAGUUCGGUCCCUAUCUGCCGUGGGCGCUGGAGAAUUGAGGGGGCUGCUCCUAGUACGAGAGGACCGGAGUGGACGCAUCACUGGUGUUCGGGUUGUCAUGCCAAUGGCACUGCCCGGUAGCUAAAUGCGGAAGAGAUAAGUGCUGAAAGCAUCUAAGCACGAAACUUGCCCCGAGAUGAGUUCUCCCUGAGACUUUAAGUCUCCUGAAGGAACGUUAAAGACGAUGACGUUGAUAGGCCGGGUGUGUAAGCGCAGCGAUGCGUUGAGCUAACCGGUACUAAUGAACCGUGAGGCUUAACCUUACAACGCCGAAG
This 2915-nucleotide ribosomal RNA is filed under the name Klebsiella pneumoniae. RNAcentral describes it as "23S ribosomal RNA". It matches the Rfam family "Bacterial large subunit ribosomal RNA". Lineage: Bacteria; Pseudomonadati; Pseudomonadota; Gammaproteobacteria; Enterobacterales; Enterobacteriaceae. The record is from RNAcentral.